GGCUCUGUGGUGCAAUGGACAGCACAUUGGACUUCUAUGGUAAAAUGUCAUUCAAAGGCUGUGGGUUCAAAUCCCACCAGAGUCA
Molecule: transfer RNA, 85 nt
Filed under: Alligator mississippiensis (American alligator)
Lineage: Eukaryota; Metazoa; Chordata; Crocodylia; Alligatoridae
Rfam family: tRNA
About the family: Transfer RNA (tRNA) molecules are approximately 80 nucleotides in length. Their secondary structure includes four short double-helical elements and three loops (D, anti-codon, and T loops). Further hydrogen bonds mediate the characteristic L-shaped molecular structure. tRNAs have two regions of fundamental functional importance: the anti-codon, which is responsible for specific mRNA codon recognition, and the 3' end, to which the tRNAs corresponding amino acid is attached (by aminoacyl-tRNA synthetases). tRNAs cope with the degeneracy of the genetic code in two manners: having more than one tRNA (with a specific anti-codon) for a particular amino acid; and 'wobble' base-pairing, i.e. permitting non-standard base-pairing at the 3rd anti-codon position.
Source: Rfam by way of RNAcentral